Molecule: long non-coding RNA, 2568 nt
Organism: Ruditapes philippinarum (Manila clam)
Lineage: Eukaryota; Metazoa; Mollusca; Bivalvia; Venerida; Veneridae
Exons: 3
Source: RefSeq, a predicted model, not a curated record
CAUCAUCUUCAUUUUGGUAAAAGUCAGGGUGGAAGCAGGAAUAUUUGCACUUUGAAAAUAUUUUGACACAGAUUUUACUGACUUUGAGAAAUAUAAGCAAACUCUACCCAGAUAUUUCAAAGUUAGAAAAUUUUCAAGAACCGGUUUCAAUACAGUCCUUAAAAGUUCUUCAAUUCCAGCCAGAUUUUUCUUAGUUAGAGUUAUUAGAAAUGAAUAUUGUAAUACACUAAUAGUACAGUUUACAUUGCUGUUAGACAAAAUAAAAAUUUUAAUUCAGAAGAAAAGAUAUUAUAGUAUAUAUUUCUGGAAAGUUUCAGUUGAUUUAUGGUAUACUCCAUUUAACAAAACUUCUUUUCAUUUACUGAAUUAUUCUUUUAUUAUUUUUUUUUGAAAUUAUGUAGAUUAUUUAGCUCAACAUGAUUUAUUGUUAUAUAUAAAAUUGAUAAUUGUUACUACUAAUUGAUUGUUUUUAUAUUUAACUGAUGACAAAAAAUUUAUUAUUUAAUGCAUUUAUUGGUCAGCAAUAAGACACUUAGUAAUGUUCAAGAGUUUUAGUUUUUAUCCACCAUCUCACAAUCUGCACAGAAUCUCCUACCUCUAAGGUCAGCUUACAGUUUAUAUAAACAAACAACCUUCAAGUGGAACUUUAUCCAGUAUUUCAAAAUACUUUAUGUUAAACUGGGCUAUCUGGUAGAUGAAAAUAGAGAAGUUACCACAGAUUGACUGACAGCGGUUUAAAAUGCCGAACAAAUAUCACACCCUGAACAUUAUUUCCAGCAUGGUCAUUUUCUAAAGAAAGAUUGGAGGCUUUAGUUGUGAUUUUAAUUCAAAUAAAUCAACUUACAUUUAUAUAUUAAUACAUAAAUGAGUUUUGUUAAUUACCUAGAAAAUGAGAUUUUAAGAUUUCAACUACCCCAGCUAUACAGAACUUUCUUGGGAAAUUUAUUGUGAAACUUAUAUAUAAAAUGGAGCAUAAUAGAUGUGUUAAACUUCGUUAUUCAAUUUGAAAAAAUGGAGGGAAAUAAGCAGCCAAUUGUAACAGAUCAAUGGUUGAAGCCAAAUAUUUCAGUAACAAUAUGUGACAAGACGAUGAAGAAGAAGAAAAUGGUGUAGUUGGAACAAAAUAAUACAAUAGAGGAAAUAUUACUGAUUGUGUGGUACAGAUACUAUAGUGUGGAAUUAUGUAAUACAGUGUGCAGCUAUCUAGUGGAAAUAUCAAACAAGAAUGACUUUUGAAAUGUAUUUAAUUGUAUGAAAAUCAAAUACAGAUAAGUGAAAAAAAAGAUCUCAAUUAUUAUUUUGUCAAUUAUCAAAAAGAACAGGAACCUGGGCGGAUUUUUAUUUUAAUUUCAGGGUGGGAUUCGCAAAAUUUUGGGGCAGGAUAAUAACAGGAAGAAAAAAGUCUGGCCUGACUUUUUAAAUAGAAAUCAGGGUGAAUUAUGGCUCAUUUAAAUAUUUCAAAUUAAUCCCAGCCUGAAAUUGCUCUUAAUUUAACUAGAAGUAAAUCUAUUUUUAGAAAUCUGUGUGAGUGAAAAUUCUGCCCUGGAUUUCCAUUUCAGGGUGGUAUUUUUUCUGGCUCAUUUAAAUAUUUCGUUGAAUCCACCCUGAAAACACUAUAUAUUGUAUACUAAAAAAUCUAACAAGAGCUGUCGGUAGGACAGCAUGCUCGACUAUUCUUAGUGCUUGAUAGUAAAAAAAAUGCCUGAUACAGUUACCUCCUCCUGUUUACAGGUUGGGGUCAUGAUGGUGAACAAGUGUGCAAAGUUUCAAAGCCAUAUGUCAAUGGACUUUGAAAAUAUUUGAACUAUUACAAAAACUUUAACGUAAAUUCUAAGUCGAAAAAGGGGCAUAAUUCUGUCAAAAUGCUUGAUAGAGUUACCUCCUGCUGUUUACAGGUUGGGGUCAUGAUGUUGAACAAGUGUGCAAAGUUUCAAAGCCAUAUGUCUAUGGACUUUGAAAAUAUUUGAACUAUUACAAAAACUUUAAAGGAAAUUCUAAGUCGAAAAAGGGGCAUAAUUCUGUCAAAAUGCUUGAUAGAGUUACCUCCUCCUGUCUACAGGUUGGGGUCAUGAUGGUGAACAAGUGUGCAAAGUUUCAAAGCCAUAUGUCAAUGGACUUUGAAAAUAUUUGAACUAUUACAAAAACUUUAACGUAAAUUCUAAGUCGAAAAAGGGGCAUAAUUCUGUCAAAAUACUUGAUAGAGUUACCUCCUCCUGUCUACAGGUUGGGGUCAUGAUGGUGAACAAGUGUGCCAAGUUUCAAAGCCAUAUGUCAAUGGACUUUGAAAAUAUUUGAACUAUUACAAAAACUUUAACGUAAAUUCUAAGUCGAAAAAGGGGCAUAAUUCUGUUAAAAUGCUUGAUAGAGUUACCUCCUCCUGUCUACAGGUUGGGGUCAUGAUGGUGAACAAGUGUGCAAAGUUUCAAAGCCAUAUGUCAAUGGACUUUGAAAAUAUUUGAACUAUUACAAAAACUUUAACAUAAGUGGUUACGCCGACGCCGACGCUCGGGUGACUGCAAUAGCUCUACUUAUUCUUAUCGAAUAGUCGAGCUAAAAAUAGAUUUCUGU